CAUAGCGACUAUCGUGGCAUAUCAAUAAGCGGAGGAAAAGAAACUAACAAGGAUUCCCCUAGUAACGGCGAGUGAAGCGGGAAGAGCUCAAAUUUGAAAUCUUAAAGGGUUUCCCUUUACGAAUUGUAGUUUAAAGAAGUGUUUUCUGUUGGAGUUUCGGUAAAAGUUCUUUGGAAUAGGACAUCAUAGAGGGUGAGAAUCCCGUAUUUGACCGUUACUUUCCAGCUGUGUGAUACACUCUCAAAGAGUCGGAUUGUUUGGGAAUGCAGUCCAAAAUGGGUGGUAAAUUUCAUCUAAAGCUAAAUAUUGGCGAGAGACCGAUAGCGAACAAGUACCGUGAGGGAAAGAUGAAAAGAACUUUGAAAAGAGAGUUAAACAGUACGUGAAAUUGUCAAAAGGGAAGCGUUUGACACCAGUGUUGUUUUUCCGAAAAUCAAUUACGAAUGUUUUGUUUUUGAGGAGUUAUGACUUCAUCGGCUUGCUUCUCUCUUUAUGAAACUUUCUUAAUGCACUUUUCGGUUAACAAGUCAACAUCAAUUUCUUUUGUUGUAAAAGGGUAUGAGGAAGGUGGCUUUCUCUUCGGCGCAAGUGUUUAUAGCCUUGUAGCCUCUACAAUCGGAGAGAUUGAGGUCUGCAGCGUAGAUCCUUCGGGAUUAGAUUCAGUUUGUGCUAAGUUAUAGCUUUUCAUAGACAACUUGUUGACUAUGUUUAGUCUUGUAGCUUACUCGCUUAAGUGUAUUUUACCUACGCUUAGGAUGUUGAUAGUCACAGCGUGUAC
RNAcentral lists this ribosomal RNA (778 nucleotides) under uncultured Neocallimastigales. RNAcentral's name for it is "partial large subunit ribosomal RNA". It matches the Rfam family "Eukaryotic large subunit ribosomal RNA", at positions 22 to 644 of the family's 3401-position model. Lineage: Eukaryota; Fungi; Neocallimastigomycota; Neocallimastigomycetes; Neocallimastigales. The record is from RNAcentral.